Friedmanniella luteola is the source of this 97-nucleotide non-coding RNA. It matches the Rfam family "Bacterial small signal recognition particle RNA". Rfam says of the family: The signal recognition particle (SRP) is a universally conserved ribonucleoprotein involved in the co-translational targeting of proteins to membranes. Archaeal SRP consists of a 7S RNA and homologues of the eukaryotic SRP19 and SRP54 proteins. The record is from Rfam. Lineage: Bacteria; Bacillati; Actinomycetota; Actinomycetes; Propionibacteriales; Nocardioidaceae.
UGCGGUCCCCCGCGCGGCGACACCUCACCCAACUCCCCCAGGGCUUGACGGCAGCAAGGGUAAGUGGGCUCUAUCGGGUGCGCGGGGGGCUCUUCCG